GUUCACUCUCGGGUCUCGGGCUAGUUGUACACCAUGGAAGCAAAGGAUGGGACUGAACAAUUGUUCUGAGAAUCUCACUGCUGAAGUGUCAUUGAAACAUUUCACAGUUUAUAAAGAAGUAAGGAAGGGAGGACACAGGCAACCUGACUGGCCUUGGGACAACUGAGGGGAGUAGUCAAUAUGCUCAAGAUGCCAUCCAUCAUGAUUCCAUACGAACCGGCUCUGCGGAUGACUGCUGAGUCAAACCUGUGCAUGUCCGCGGCUGGUUUCCUCCUCCCCAGCCUGGGCAGUGCAUCACCCCACGUGUGGUCUGUGCCGGGCAUGCUUCGUGUCUGUCUGACCAGCAUCCACUUCCCAUCCUCUGAAGAACCAUUCUGCAGGGGAGUAUUUCUUCUAUAAGCACUUCACAAACAAGGCUCAGAAACGUCGGAUAAUUCUGGAGAGACCACAAAGCUAAAAAGGAACGGAAAUGGGAUUCUAACUCAGGAGAUGCUUUGCCUACAAGUCAAUGAGUAGCACGGAUGCUUUGGGCAAGGUCAUUCUAAAAGAAUGCCCUUUUACCUGUUUCCCCAACCUCAAACCUCUUACGCAAUCACUUAUUCUGCUGGGUUGACUUUAAAAAAGGUCAAGAGGAGCGAACACCUUCCAAACCCCUUUGGCUGCUUCUGCCUCAAAUGUAAGCCUCUUCCCCAGGAACUGGACAUUCAUAACCAGAAAUCAGAGGAGUGGGACCCAGGCUAAGGUGUCCUGCAUUACCUAAUUGAGAGCUGGGCGAAAGUAUCUUGAAAAUCACGGUGAAUGACACAAACGGAAUGAUUUGUAAUGACUGUGAAUGAAAAUCACAGUGAAGAAUUCUUGAACACUACCUCUGAAACUAAUGAUCUGGCUAACUGAAUUAAAAUUAAAAAAAAAAGAAAAAGAAAAGAAAGAAAAUCACAGUGAGUGAUUUCAAACGGUCCUUGAAACAAAAAGGACUUGACAUCAUAAUUCCAGAGGAGAACCUCUUCAGGUAUUUUUGGAGGCUUCUCUGUCUUCCCGGUCACAUUUGCCUCUCAAAUGGAUAAGAGAACUUUAAGUAGUGGCCAGCGGAAAGGCACUAUUAACUUGAUUUAUCAUUCGACUGCGUUAGAACACAAGGUGAGUACAAUAUAUCUCUAUUUUCUGGCCUUCUGAGAACUUAGAAGUCCU
This is a long non-coding RNA of Neogale vison (American mink), 1188 nucleotides long. RefSeq lists it as uncharacterized. The record is from RefSeq and is a predicted model, not a curated record. NCBI's taxonomy places the organism in Eukaryota, Metazoa, Chordata, Mammalia, Carnivora, Mustelidae. The transcript is spliced from 6 exons.